Molecule: long non-coding RNA, 1171 nt
Filed under: Sus scrofa (pig)
Lineage: Eukaryota; Metazoa; Chordata; Mammalia; Artiodactyla; Suidae
Description: lncRNA (ENSSSCG00055016490.1)
Source: RNAcentral
AUGUCCCCGCCAGGACUGCUGCAUCUGCUCCUUCUUCCGCCUGGAAUGCUCUUCCUUCAGGUAAUCCCAUGGCCUUCUCCCUCGCUUUCUCCAGCUGUCUGCGCGAUCGUCACCUUUCAGAUAGACCUGCCUUUGCCUUUGUUACCCCGAGGAAAACAGAAACAUCCUCACCCCAUGCCCCUUCCCCUGAUCCAGCCUUUUCUGUCUACAUUGCACCUGCCACCUUUGAUGUGCUCUAAUGUGUUUACCGAGCACCUCUAUGAAAGGAGAGGCUCUGUCAGUUCUGUCCUGUCCGAAACUCCUAGAACAGUACUCAGAAAACACUUGCUGAGCCAUCGGAAGAGCAAUCUCGCCCUGACCAAUCAUCACUCAUAAUCCUUUCCGACCCCUCCCACCGCCUCCGGGAGCCAAUCCCUUGCCCCGUUGCCGUCAGCCCCAGCUAGAGGUGACCAUAUAGAAACGAAGGGGUGAACUUGGAGUAGGUAGAAAGAAGGCUGCAUCCUGGUAUUCAGUGUGUACUCGUGCUCGAAUGCUCCGGGAAGACGGAGAGGAUACAAUGGGGAUGGACCCAGCGGCUCCAUGAGAGCCUCCUCCGGGAACUGUGGUUAACGCCCUCCGCAGUGUACGUGAACCCUCAGUAUUGGAACACGAUGGAUUAUUCCAGAACGACCGCCUCCUACCCUCUAAUGGUACCUUCCGAGUGAAUGGUCUUACCUCCGGCCCUGUCAGUGGUACGUCCCAUGACAGAUGUUCCAUCUCGCGCGCCCCUUGGUGGUGUCAUCGGGGAACAGCCGAUGCAGAUGUUAGUGGACUAUUCCAGGGUGGUCCCCAAAGGGAGGGAGGGCAAAGUUAGGAUUAAAACCUCACAAUUCGCUGGAGUCUUGGACCCGGCAAAAAGUCUUGCUAAACAGAAAUGUACUUCUUUGUAGUGGCACCAAGCGUUUUCUCUGUGCUGGGCAUUGGGCUUGCUUGCGCCUCCCUGGGUAAUAUAGAAUAGGUGUAGUGCGGCAAGCCAGCCAGGGUUCCUCAAGGGGCAGGGGGGAGAAAGGUCCCGACGGGUCUCUGAUGUCCUGGUGAGGGGCAGGCCUCUGUCCUUGACUGUGAGUACUAGGGGAAAAAGAGAGCAGGACCUUUGGUUCUGUUAGGAAAAAGGCCCUCUUGGAGUUCCCGU